Rhea pennata is the source of this 1953-nucleotide long non-coding RNA. RefSeq lists it as uncharacterized. NCBI's taxonomy places the organism in Eukaryota, Metazoa, Chordata, Aves, Rheiformes, Rheidae. The record is from RefSeq and is a predicted model, not a curated record. The transcript has 3 exons.
CAUAGCGGCGGCGGCGGCGCUAGGAGCGGGGAGAGGUGUGGGGCAGCUCCCGGCGCUGGGGGACGCGGCCGGCGACUGCCGGGGCACUCGGGUGUCACGGGCUGCAAAGCUGGUGGGUGCGGUUGGCCACGGUCGCAAGAAGCAGCGCCAAGAAACGCGCUCAGGCCGCCCGGGCCUGUCGCCCGCCGCCGAGUCGGCCGUGCGGCGACGCUGAGGAUCUCAGCACAGCGGGAGCAGGAGCUGCUCAUCGCAGUGGGAACAGAAGCUUUGUCUCCUGCAGAAAGGGCCAACUUCUGCUGCAGUAAGACAACAGCUCCCCAGCGGCGUGGACUUGGAAAGCGCAGAGUAUUCUCCCUGGCUGAGAGGAAAGACAUGGCAUGGUUGGAGAAAGGAACUGCAGUACCAGUCCAUCCUCUCUAACAGUACAGGGAAUCCAUUUUUUCUCCUGGCAGAAGCAAAUUAUAAUUAGGUAUCAACAGAGGUACUCAAGGGACCUGCAGCCCCAUCCCAAGCCUGCCUCUCUCAACACAGAAAUACAACCUCUCAGCUCUUUCCUGUUGCUAUGAGGCAAGAGGGGGUCCCAGCAAGGGCCACACAUCCCAGCCAGGUGUGCUGCAAUUUGGCUGCCUGCGGGAGGGAAGAGCCUCUGCAGGCAGAGCUUUAAAGCCAAGUUUCUUUAACCUAGCAGUAGCCACACAGCAAGGACUGCUGCUUUCCUCCUCUCUGCCACCACUCGGAGACGAGGCUGACUAAAUCGGCCCUAGGCUCCUGUCCUCCCGCCAUCCAGGCCCAGAUUGCGAGAUGCUGGGCUGCACCUACUCCAUCGCCCCCCAGCCUGCUUUGCCAACCCUCUCUAGCAGCCUUGAGGUUAAUUCACUUCAGACAGGAAGAAUAUUUUUGUCACAAAGCAGGUGGGUGAUCUCCACUACUCACUUCGGUCUGUAAUGGGGUUGCUGCAGCAUUAGAAGAGCAUUUGAAAACCCUUAGUGUUCUCUUUCUGUCUCGCAGCAGGAGCUGAUUGUGCAGUUCUCACUGUCAGUCUGUGUAGCCCCCACCACUUCACUUCUGGGCUGGCUGGGCUUGCGCUCCUCUUUCAUCCUCACACCUUAACCACACUGUUCCUCAGGCCAUCAACAGCAACAAGACUCAGGAACGACUAGAACAUGUAAACACAUCUCCUAGCUGGAGCAAGGAAUAGAUGACCAGAUUUUUUCAUUUAUUUGUUUGUUUUUUUAUGUAUAUUUAAAGAGAGCUCCACAGUUUGUUAGAGUAAAAAACUAGGAAGGGCAGGGGGAUGUUUUCUGUUGUGGGGCAGAGGCUGUAUCAGCUGGACAACCCAUGACAGCAGGGAUCACAGGUCUGUGGUCUAACGAGCACAGAAAUGCCUGGCACAGGGCAGAAGGACGUUCACACUUGUGAUGAAGCAUCAAGGUGUCCGCCUGGUGUCUGCCACAUGAAGGAGAGUGCUUCUGCCCAGUCUGCUGGAGAAGCAGCACGGCAGGAUCCCCUGGCUGGGAUCCAUGCAGUUGUUGAGUCCGACUGUCUCGCAUUACAUCAGCCCUGGUCAUAACCUGACCUAGCUUCCUCUUUAUUAGCUGCUGAUUUUCCAAGAACUGGACUACAGCAUGAGGACAGCACUUCCCCACUGACAAUGCCAAACUCAAAAACGAUGGGAUUAAACAAGCCAACAGAAAACUAUACUGAGAGUUUCUUCCUUUCUCUUUUUCAAGCCUUCUGGAAGCCUUUAUUUCAUAUUCUCAAGCUUGUCUCAGACUACAAACUCAUUUUGUUAAAUAGAAUAUUGAUACCAUUUUAAAAUUGUUUUUGGUGGACUAGGCCCAAAGAUUGGUGCCUAUAUUCAAAGAUGCAGUACUGCUUUGCAGCAGAGUUUAACUGGGGUGCCAUUUUUGCUUUUGAACUUAUUGUAAUUAUAACAGAUUUUUUUUUAAUAUG